Molecule: ribosomal RNA, 1373 nt
Filed under: uncultured bacterium
Lineage: Bacteria
Description: bacterial SSU rRNA
Rfam family: Bacterial small subunit ribosomal RNA
Source: RNAcentral
GAUGAACGCUGGCGGCGUGCCUAAUACAUGCAAGUCGAGCGAACGGACGAGAAGCUUGCUUCUCUGAUGUUAGCGGCGGACGGGUGAGUAACACGUGGAUAACCUACCUAUAAGACUGGGAUAACUUCGGGAAACCGGAGCUAAUACCGGAUAAUAUUUUGAACCGCAUGGUUCAAAAGUGAAAGACGGUCUUGCUGUCACUUAUAGAUGGAUCCGCGCUGCAUUAGCUAGUUGGUAAGGUAACGGCUUACCAAGGCAACGAUGCAUAGCCGACCUGAGAGGGUGAUCGGCCACACUGGAACUGAGACACGGUCCAGACUCCUACGGGAGGCAGCAGUAGGGAAUCUUCCGCAAUGGGCGAAAGCCUGACGGAGCAACGCCGCGUGAGUGAUGAAGGUCUUCGGAUCGUAAAACUCUGUUAUUAGGGAAGAACAUAUGUGUAAGUAACUGUGCACAUCUUGACGGUACCUAAUCAGAAAGCCACGGCUAACUACGUGCCAGCAGCCGCGGUAAUACGUAGGUGGCAAGCGUUAUCCGGAAUUAUUGGGCGUAAAGCGCGCGUAGGCGGUUUUUUAAGUCUGAUGUGAAAGCCCACGGCUCAACCGUGGAGGGUCAUUGGAAACUGGAAAACUUGAGUGCAGAAGAGGAAAGUGGAAUUCCAUGUGUAGCGGUGAAAUGCGCAGAGAUAUGGAGGAACACCAGUGGCGAAGGCGACUUUCUGGUCUGUAACUGACGCUGAUGUGCGAAAGCGUGGGGAUCAAACAGGAUUAGAUACCCUGGUAGUCCACGCCGUAAACGAUGAGUGCUAAGUGUUAGGGGGUUUCCGCCCCUUAGUGCUGCAGCUAACGCAUUAGGCACUCCGCCUGGGGAGUACGACCGCAAGGUUGAAACUCAAAGGAAUUGACGGGGACCCGCACAAGCGGUGGAGCAUGUGGUUUAACUCGAAGCAACGCGAAGAACCUUACCAAAUCUUGACAUCCUUUGACAACUCUAGAGAUAGAGCUUUCCCCUUCGGGGGACAAAGUGACAGGUGGUGCAUGGUUGUCGUCAGCUCGUGUCGUGAGAUGUUGGGUUAAGUCCCGCAACGAGCGCAACCCUUAAGCUUAGUUGCCAUCAUUAAGUUGGGCACUCUAAGUUGACUGCCGGUGACAAACCGGACGAAGGUGGGGAUGACGUCAAAUCAUCAUGCCCCUUAUGAUUUGGGCUACACACGUGCUACAAUGGACAAUACAAAGGGCAGCGAAACCGCGAGGUCAAGCAAAUCCCAUAAAGUUGUUCUCAGUUCGGAUUGUAGUCUGCAACUCGACUACAUGAAGCUGGAAUCGCUAGUAAUCGUAGAUCAGCAUGCUACGGUGAAUACGUUCCCCGGGUCU